RNAcentral lists this transfer RNA (72 nucleotides) under Mycosphaerella sp. Ston1. Its description in RNAcentral is "tRNA-Thr (TGT) (tRNA-Thr-TGT-1-1)". It matches the Rfam family "tRNA". From Rfam's summary of the family: Transfer RNA (tRNA) molecules are approximately 80 nucleotides in length. Their secondary structure includes four short double-helical elements and three loops (D, anti-codon, and T loops). Further hydrogen bonds mediate the characteristic L-shaped molecular structure. tRNAs have two regions of fundamental functional importance: the anti-codon, which is responsible for specific mRNA codon recognition, and the 3' end, to which the tRNAs corresponding amino acid is attached (by aminoacyl-tRNA synthetases). tRNAs cope with the degeneracy of the genetic code in two manners: having more than one tRNA (with a specific anti-codon) for a particular amino acid; and 'wobble' base-pairing, i.e. permitting non-standard base-pairing at the 3rd anti-codon position. Lineage: Eukaryota; Fungi; Ascomycota; Dothideomycetes; Mycosphaerellales; Mycosphaerellaceae. The record is from RNAcentral.
GCCUCUAUAGCUCAGUGGUAGAGCGUUGCACUUGUAAUGCAAAGGUCGGUUGUUCAAUCCAGCCUGGAGGCA